CAUACAAAUUUGUAAUGUAUGAAAACAUGAGAUAUUUAACGAAAACUGAAGAGUUAUCAUACUGUGAAGACAUUUGUGAUUCAGAACAAAGAUGGGUUUGUACAGAUAAAGGCAUAAUGAGGAAGGUUUCUGUUAGACAAAUUUAUCGGAUUAAGAGAGCAGCUGUUAAAAUG
Xiphophorus couchianus (Monterrey platyfish) is the source of this 173-nucleotide long non-coding RNA. RefSeq lists it as uncharacterized. The transcript has 3 exons. The record is from RefSeq and is a predicted model, not a curated record. Lineage: Eukaryota; Metazoa; Chordata; Actinopteri; Cyprinodontiformes; Poeciliidae.